CAGCUCGAGUUUCUCUUCAUUUGCGCAUAAAUCUUUUGUCUUUUACUAAAGAUUUCCGUGAAAAGGAACAUUUGUGUGUUUUUGGUAUUUUUCGGGUGCUCUGCGCACAUCAGAGCU
Small nuclear RNA from Megalobrama amblycephala (Wuchang bream), 117 nucleotides. RefSeq annotates it as U5 spliceosomal RNA. The transcript has a single exon. Lineage: Eukaryota; Metazoa; Chordata; Actinopteri; Cypriniformes; Xenocyprididae. The record is from RefSeq and is a predicted model, not a curated record.